RNAcentral lists this ribosomal RNA (447 nucleotides) under uncultured bacterium. Its description in RNAcentral is "partial 16S ribosomal RNA". It matches the Rfam family "Bacterial small subunit ribosomal RNA", at positions 29 to 523 of the family's 1533-position model. The record is from RNAcentral.
AACGAACGCUGGCGGCAGGCUUAACACAUGCAAGUCGAGCGCCCCGCAAGGGGAGCGGCAGACGGGUGAGUAACGCGUGGGAAUCUACCCAUCCCUACGGAAUAGCUCCGGGAAACUGGAAUCAAUACCGUAUACGCCCUACGGGGGAAAGAUUUAUCGGGGAUGGAUGAGCCCGCGUUGGAUUAGCUAGUUGGUGGGGUAAAGGCCCACCAAGGCGACGAUCCAUAGCUGGUCUGAGAGGAUGAUCAGCCACAUUGGGACUGAGACACGGCCCAAACUCCUACGGGAGGCAGCAGUGGGGAAUAUUGGACAAUGGGGGCAACCCUGAUCCAGCCAUGCCGCGUGAGUGAUGAAGGCCUUAGGGUUGUAAAGCUCUUUCACCGGGGAAGAUAAUGACGGUACCCGGAGAAGAAGCCCCGGCUAACUUCGUGCCAGCAGCCGCCGUAA